RNAcentral lists this ribosomal RNA (752 nucleotides) under uncultured archaeon. RNAcentral's name for it is "bacterial SSU rRNA". It matches the Rfam family "Archaeal small subunit ribosomal RNA", at positions 11 to 765 of the family's 1478-position model. The record is from RNAcentral.
AUCCCGGCAGAGGCUACUGCUAUUGGGGUUCGAUUAAGCCAUGCAAGUUGAACGAUUCUUCGGAAUCGUGGCGAACGGCUCAGCAACACGUGGAUAACCUACCCUUAGGACCGGUAUAACCCUGGGAAACUGGGGACAAUCCCGGAUAGGUGAUUUUUUCUGUAAUGAUUUUUCAUUUAAAUGCUCCGGCGCCUGAGGAUGGGUCUGCGGCAGAUUAGGUAGUUGGUAGGGUAAUGGCCUACCAAGCCGGUGAUCUGUACGGGUUGUGAGAGCAAGAGCCCGGAGAUGGAACCUGAGACAAGGUUCCAGGCCCUACGGGGCGCAGCAGGCGCGAAACCUCCGCAAUGCGAGAAAUCGCGACGGGGGGACCCCAAGUGCCACUCUUAACGGGGUGGCUUUUCUUGAGCGUAAAAAGCUUUUGGAAUAAGGGCUGGGCAAGACCGGUGCCAGCCGCCGGUAACACCGGCAGCUCUAGUGGUAGCCAUUUUUAUUGGGCCUAAAGCGUUCGUAGCCGGUUUGAUAAGUCUCUGGUGAAAUCCUGUAGCUUAACUGUGGGAAUUGCUGGAGAUACUAUUAGACUUGAGGUCGGGAGAGGUUAGCGGUACUCCCAGGGUAGGGGUGAAAUCCUGUAAUCCUGGGAGGACCACCUGUGGCGAAGGCGGCUAACUGGAACGAACCUGACGGUGAGGGACGAAAGCCAGGGGCGCGAACCGGAUUAGAUACCCGGGUAGUCCUGGCCGUAAACGAUGUGG